This 338-nucleotide RNase P RNA is filed under the name human gut metagenome. Its description in RNAcentral is "Bacterial RNase P class A". It matches the Rfam family "Bacterial RNase P class A". From Rfam's summary of the family: Ribonuclease P (RNase P) is a ubiquitous endoribonuclease, found in archaea, bacteria and eukarya as well as chloroplasts and mitochondria. The record is from RNAcentral.
AGUACGCUGGACAGCCGCGGGGACAGGGCGAAAGCCCGUCCAUGAGGAAAGUCCGGGCUCCAUAGGGCAAGGAUAGCGGGUAACGCCCGCCGAAGGCGACUUCAGGAAAAGUGCAACAGAGAUAUACCGCCGCGCUUGCGCGGUAAGGGUGGAAAGGCGAGGUAAGAGCUCACCCGACGGCGUGUGAAAGCGUCAGUCGCUGUAAACUCUAUCCGGAGCAACACCGGUAUGGGAGCAAUAGGCUUGCCCGGCCGCUCCCGAGGUGGCUGGAGCGCACCGGCGACGGUGCGCGUAGAUAGAUGGCUGUCAAAACAGAACCCGGCUUAUAGGCAUACUCG